RNAcentral lists this ribosomal RNA (250 nucleotides) under uncultured prokaryote. Its description in RNAcentral is "partial 16S ribosomal RNA". It matches the Rfam family "Bacterial small subunit ribosomal RNA", at positions 524 to 773 of the family's 1533-position model. The record is from RNAcentral.
UACGUAGGGGGCAAGCGUUAUCCGGAUUUACUGGGUGUAAAGGGAGCGCAGACGGCAGUGCAAGUCUGAAGUGAAAGCUCAGGGCUCAACCCUGGAACUGCUUUGGAAACUGUACAGCUAGAGUAUCGGAGGGGUAAGCGGAAUUCCUAGUGUAGCGGUGAAAUGCGUAGAUAUUAGGAGGAACACCGGUGGCGAAGGCGGCUUACUGGACGAUAACUGACGUUGAGGCUCGAAAGCGUGGGGAGCAAAC